RNAcentral lists this long non-coding RNA (728 nucleotides) under Prunus persica (peach). Its description in RNAcentral is "long non-coding RNA (PPER_LNC005521)". Lineage: Eukaryota; Viridiplantae; Streptophyta; Magnoliopsida; Rosales; Rosaceae. The record is from RNAcentral.
UGAGGUUCUUGCUCGCCAAUGUCAAAGGUGAAAGAAAUGUGUUUGCAUGAAAUCUUGUUAUUUAUUUAAUGACGUGAAUCAAAAGACUCAAUUAUACUUGCAUGUCUUAAUAUUAUCGGGUUUUGUAGAAAGAGGCCAAGAAAGAAGCCAAGCUGGAGUAACCGCCAUGUAGUAUGAAGUAGGUGCCAGGCAGCAUGGAAAAGCCAACCAGAAAAAACCCAGGAAUGUGAGAAGCUGUCUAUAUGACGAAUGAUGUUCGGCAGAAAUUACUUAUAUAAUUGUCAAUUUUGGAUUAUGGGUUGUUGUAAUUUUCAUGGAGUACCGAGAUUAUUGGCUUGGCAUUUGCUACAUAUCUUCCUAACUCAGUGAUUUUUUGUUUUUUGUUUUUGGUUUUUGGGGGCAUAUGUAUAUAUACAGUCCCGAUCUCUUGGACCACAGGAGUCCAAGAGAUUGUGGUCACCCACCGUUGGAUAUUAAUCUAAUGGUAUAAAAAAAGUUUAUUAAAAUGAGUGCAAGAGUGAGUGAACCGUUGAAUUUACAUCCAACGGUGAGUGACCACAAAUUUCUUGAACUCCUGUGGUCCAAGAGAUCAGGACUAUGUAUAUAUAUUUAUUAAAAUGUAGUUAAGUAAUUGUCAGCUAUAUGACGAAUGAUGAGUUGGGAAGAAAUUACUUAUGUAAUAAUUGUCAAUUUUGGAUUACGGGUUAUUGCAAUUUUCAUGUAGUUAA